This 253-nucleotide ribosomal RNA is filed under the name uncultured bacterium. RNAcentral's name for it is "partial 16S ribosomal RNA". It matches the Rfam family "Bacterial small subunit ribosomal RNA", at positions 524 to 776 of the family's 1533-position model. The record is from RNAcentral.
UACAUGUGGGGCAAGCGUUGUUCGGAAUUACUGGGCAUAAAGGGUGCGUAGGUGGUUUGUUUAGUCAGGGGUGAAAUCCCACGGCCCAACCGUGGAACGGCCUUUGAUACUGGCGAACUUGAGUGCGUGAGGGGUAGGAGGAACGAGCAGUGUAGCGGUGAAAUGCGUAGAUAUUGCUCGGAAGGCCGGAGCCGAAGGGGUCCUACUGGUACGUAACUGACACUGAGGCACGAAAGCGUGGGGAGCAAACAGG